Molecule: ribosomal RNA, 370 nt
Filed under: uncultured Glomeromycotina
Lineage: Eukaryota; Fungi; Glomeromycota
Description: LSU rRNA
Source: RNAcentral
UUGAAAGGGAAACGAUUGAAGUCAGUCGUACCUGUGGGUAAUCAGCCUUUUGGGUGUGAUUUUGUGGAGUGUGAGGAGUUAAACGCCUUCAUGCCUGCAUAUUCGUGCACUUUGGGUGUAUUUACCCGUGUGGUAAGUUAACAUCAAUUUCGGUGGUCAUAAAAUGGCUGGAGGAAUGUAGCUUCGAUCUUGUAUUGAAGUGUUAUAGCCUUCGGUAGAUGUGAUGAUCGGGAUUGAGGAUUGCAACGGAUACCCUUCGGGGCUACCUGUCUGAUCUCUGAUCGUUGCUCUGGUGCCGAAAGCUUGCUUACGGUUUCAAUCGAUGGUCAAUAGGUUAGAACGGGUUAAAUUCGUUAAGGAUGUUGACGUA